RNAcentral lists this unclassified non-coding RNA (706 nucleotides) under Bradyrhizobium sp. RNAcentral describes it as "partial 16S-23S ribosomal RNA intergenic spacer region". The stretch from base 591 to 706 matches the Rfam family "Bacterial large subunit ribosomal RNA", at positions 1 to 115 of the family's 2925-position model. Lineage: Bacteria; Pseudomonadati; Pseudomonadota; Alphaproteobacteria; Hyphomicrobiales; Nitrobacteraceae. The record is from RNAcentral.
GGUUAGAGCGCGCGCUUGAUAAGCGUGAGGUCGGAAGUUCAAGUCUUCCCAGGCCCACCACACUCAUCGAGUGAGCAUUCGUCUUCUGGUUACGGGGCCAUAGCUCAGCUGGGAGAGCGCGUGCUUUGCAAGCAUGAGGUCGUCGGUUCGAUCCCGUCUGGCUCCACCAGAUGGUUUGAUCACCGACUACUUGUACCGUCGUCCGCGAAACAUCACUUCGCACUUACUAGUCCGGAUGGACAGUAAGCUGCGUGAUUUCUGACAUCGUAAAGAGGAGAUCGAUCCGAGUUGGAUCGGGCAACAAGUAAUUGUUGCGCGAUACUUCAUUAUCUCCGGAUCAUUUCGGCGCUCGUGCGUCUUCCAGGGUAGCUCACAAGGCUGCGUCUGAAGGACACGCGAGUUGUAAAUGAUCCUUUUAGCGAAGCUUGACCGCCUCGCUAUCGGAACGAUCUUACGAAGCAAGCUGGUCUUUCUAAUCAUUGUCCGGCUGCAGAUAGCGUUCAUCGAGGGCGCGUGCCUUAGAGACUUAGGUUUCUUGGCAAUUCUGCAGACAACAUUCUGCCGAGUGUGUGGACAUUGAUAAUGAGAGCAAUCAAGUGCCUUAAGGGUGUUCGGUGGAUGCCUUGGCGCUGAGAGGCGAUGAAGGACGUGCUACGCUGCGAUAAGCCGUGGGGAGCUGCGAAGAAGCUUUGAUCCAUGGAUUUCC